UAUUCUGUACACAGGGGAAAAUUCAUGAAGAAGAGGCAGUAGCAAGAUGAUGAGAACAAGACGGAGAAGAUGAAGAUGGCAACAAUGAAGAGGAGCUUGUGCAAUACUUUCAUUGAGCGUACAUAGUCAAAUUUAGAGACUUUGAACAGAAGAAAAACUUCUGGAGCAUUGGCACAUGAAGACACAAGUAGGCAUCAUUCAACACAUGAAGAUGUUAGAAGCGAACCACGAAAGAUUACAAAAGAUGACAUCAAGC
RNAcentral lists this long non-coding RNA (256 nucleotides) under Setaria viridis. Its description in RNAcentral is "long non-coding RNA (SVIR_LNC005893)". The record is from RNAcentral. Lineage: Eukaryota; Viridiplantae; Streptophyta; Magnoliopsida; Poales; Poaceae.